GCCGGGCGCGGUGGCGCAUGCCUGUAGUCCCAGCUACUCGGGAGGCUGAGGCUGGAGGAUCGCUUGAGUCCAGGAGUUCUGGGCUGUAGUGCGCUAUGCCGAUCGGGUGUCCGCACUAAGUUCGGCAUCAAUAUGGUGACCUCCCGGGAGCGGGAGACCACCAGGUUGCCUAAGGAGGGGUGAACCGGCCCAGGUCGGAAACGCAGCAGGUCAAAACUCACGUGCUGAUCAGAAGGCAUGUUAGCUAGGGAUCCAGUGGUAAGCAAAACAGAUAGGCGCAGUGGCACAUGCCUCGC
Gorilla gorilla gorilla (western lowland gorilla) is the source of this 296-nucleotide non-coding RNA. It matches the Rfam family "Metazoan signal recognition particle RNA". From Rfam's summary of the family: The signal recognition particle (SRP) is a universally conserved ribonucleoprotein. The record is from Rfam. Lineage: Eukaryota; Metazoa; Chordata; Mammalia; Primates; Hominidae.